RNAcentral lists this ribosomal RNA (253 nucleotides) under uncultured bacterium. RNAcentral describes it as "partial 16S ribosomal RNA". It matches the Rfam family "Bacterial small subunit ribosomal RNA", at positions 524 to 776 of the family's 1533-position model. The record is from RNAcentral.
GAUGGAGGAGGCAAGCGUUAUCCGGAAUUAUUGGGCGUAAAGGGUACGUAGGCGGCUGGUCAAGUCUGGGGUCAAAGGCCACAGCUCAACUGUGGGAAGGCCCUGGAAACGGGCCGGCUAGAGUGAGGUAGGGGUUGCGGGAAUUCCCGGUGUAGCGGUGAAAUGCGUAGAGAUCGGGAAGAACACCUGAGGCGGAAGCGCGCAACUGGGCCUCAACUGACGCUGAGGUACGAAAGCUAGGGGAGCUAAUGGG